GGAGAAUCGCUUGAACCCGGGAGGCGGAGGUUGCAGUGAGCCAAGAUGGCGCCAUUGCACUCCAGCCUGGGCAACGAGUGAAACUUCAUCUCAAAAAAAAAAAAAAUCAUGUAUAAUCAGAAUUAUCCUUGGAAACCCCUUUUAUCACUCCUAAAGUACAGAACCAUCUCCCAAUAGCAUAGCCAAGUUUUCCUCUAGCAAUGGAACAGAUUGCUGUUUCUUCGGUGGAUAACUGAUAAAGGGAUUGGCUUGCUUGGGGACUUACACACUAGACCCAUACUUAGUAUGGCGACAUGCACACACACUGAAGAUUUUAUGAGGCACCUGGGAACUGAGACCAAUGAGGGGAACAGCAGAUUUACCUCUUUCACGACACACUUGGGGCCUAUGGUAUAUGAGUAAAAUAAUAUUUAAUAUAGUAUUACUCUUUCUCUUUCCAUCUCUAGUUUCUCCACAGCAAGUAUAAUUGAGUUUUUGUAAACUAAAGAGAAAUAGUACCUAUUUCAUAGGGUUGUGACAAUUAAAAGACCUACGUUUUUGUGUUUUGUUUUGUUUUGUUUUUGAGACGGAGUUGUGCUCUGUCACCCAGGCUAGAGUGCAGUGGUGCGAUCUUGGCUCACUGCAACCUCUGCCUCCUGGGUUCAAAUGAUUCUCCUGCCUCAGCCUCUCGAAUAGCUGGGAUCACAGGCUCCCGCCACCACGCCCGGCUAAUUUUUGUAUUUUCGUAGAGACAGGGUUUCACAAUGUUGGCCAGGCUGGUCUCGAACUCCUGAUCUCAGGUGGUCCGCCUGCCUCAGCCUCCCAAAGUGCUGAGAUUACAGGCAUGAGCCACCAUGCCCGGCCAAAAGAGUUAAUAUUUAUAAAGCACUCAAAACAGUUCCUGAUCCAGGGUAAGCUCUCUAUAAGUGUUUGCUCUUACUGUAUUUAAGGUAGAUAUAGUGGCACUCCACUGUAUUUUCUACAAAAUCCUGCAUAUAAUCCUUCAUGGCAAUUUGGGAAAAAUGCAUUCUGUGGCAGGGAUGAGGUUUAGCACACUAGCCCUUUGUAGUUGCAGAUGCAUGCAGGAGAUAUAUAUUAUAUAUUAUAUAUAUAUUUAUAUAUAUAUAUAUACACACACACAUAUAUUAUAUAUGUAUAUAUUUGAGAUGGGGUCUUACUCUGUCCUUGCUCAGACUGGAGUGCAGAUGGCUCACUGCAGCCUCGACCUCCUGGGCUCAGGUGAUCCUCUCACAUCAGCCUUCCAAGUAGCUGGGACUACAGGCAUGCACCACCACACCCAGCUAAUUUUUGUAUUUUUUGUAGAGACAGGGGUUUUACUAUGUUGCCCAGGGUGGUCUCGAACUCCUGGCACACUGCAACCUCCGCCUGCCAGGUUCAAGUGAUUCUCCUGCCUCAGCCUCCUGAGUAGCCGGGAUUACAGGCAUCCAC
Molecule: long non-coding RNA, 1428 nt
Filed under: Homo sapiens (human)
Lineage: Eukaryota; Metazoa; Chordata; Mammalia; Primates; Hominidae
Description: HSALNT0006840
Source: RNAcentral